RNAcentral lists this ribosomal RNA (2830 nucleotides) under Monoblepharella sp. JEL15. RNAcentral describes it as "large subunit ribosomal RNA". It matches the Rfam family "Bacterial large subunit ribosomal RNA". Lineage: Eukaryota; Fungi; Monoblepharomycota; Monoblepharidomycetes; Monoblepharidales; Monoblepharidaceae. The record is from RNAcentral.
GGAAAAGUAGUAAAUAUGGGCAACCCGUGGAUGGCUGGCCUAUUGAUUCAGUGGGAGUUAAACGACUAAAAGUUUCGAAUAGAAACAACCCACAGAUAAAAAUCCAAGUUGAAAAGGAUCUGAACUGAUUCAUCUAAGUAGGAUCCCUAUUUAUCUUAUCAGAUAAAUAAAUAAAUCGGAAUGAGAAUCACCUCAGUAGUGGCGAACGAACAGGUUAUUGGUUAGCUAUACAACAUAGAAGGGAAUAAUCCAGAUCCUGUAUAGCAUAACAAGGUUAAAAGUAGAACCAAUAAAAAAGGUUUGAACAACGAGAAUUAUCUCGAAACCAAAAGAAGAAUCAAUAGGCGAGAGCGAAAAGUACCGUGAGGGAAAGCUGAGAAAGUAUCAUAAUAAAUGGUGAGUUCAAGGAAAGAGAUCCUGAAACGGGUUGUUGGCAGCGUAAGCUUUAGAAUGAAGCAAACGUUUACCUUUUGCAUAAGGGGCCUGCAACUUUAUUCUUUUAGUAAGCUCUCUAAAUGAGAAGCCUAGUGAAUGCGAAGUCUGAUAGACUGUUUGAUUAGAAGAAUAAGGCCCGAAACCAGAUGAUCUAGACGAGGCCAGGUUAAGAUAUCUUCUCCCAAAUCUCACUACGUUUGAUUUGGUCAGAGACAUUUAAAUGUCUCUGUAGGAUACGACCAAUAGUACAAAUUUGUACUAUUGGGGGCCCAUUCAGGUUCCCCUGAAUGGGCUUUCAGAAUCUAGUUUUACCCAAAGGUAAAACUAGAUGGGGCCCAUCCUGAAAAGGAUGGGCUUCUCAAGUUCCCUAAGAGGGAACUUGAGGUGAAUCUAAAUGGGCUAUCCCAGAUGGUGAACCAUCUGGGACGCCGUAUUCUAUUGAGGGUCGUUAGACCCGAAGACCAGCUGAACAUAGUGAAAGCUGGGAUGAAUUAGGGACCGAACAGGUGGCUGUUGCAAUAGCCUCUGAUGAGCUUCGUCUUGGAGUGAAAGACUAACCGUAUCUGGAGAUAGCUGGUCUACCACGAAAGCUAUUGAAGUAGCAUUACUGAUCAUAAUUCCUUUUAGGUGGAUUAAAAGUAUGCAGGACUGACUUAACUCCCAAUGAAAAGGAAAAUAGACAGUAGGACUGACUCUGGGGGAUAAGCUUCAGAGUCUAACAGGAAAGAGCCUAAUACUAAUGAUAAGGUCUCUAACAAAGGUUAAUUGGUAUUGAGGGAGUCUAAGGGUGUAGUUUACCACUGGGUGAGCAUGGAAGUCGCUAUCCCAAAGAGAACGUGUAACAACGCAAAGGUCGAAAUACAAAGUAGCCCCUGGCAUCAUUAAUUAACGAGCCUAAACCUUUGACCGAUUCAUAGUUUCCCAUUCCAUAAAGUUCACCUUGUGGGAUUUUUAGAUCUACAUAAGUGAACUUGAAUGGGGAGGUAGUGGUACAUGCCAUAAAUUGGCAGAGAGAAUGCAGGUGUGAGUAUGUAUAAAUGAAGUGAGAAAUCUUCAUGGUCUAAUAUCCAAGGUUUUCGAUGAGAAGUUCAGCUUCGUCGAGUUAAACGGUUCCAAACCUAUAUCUGUAUUAGGGAUGGAGAUAUCACUCGCUUGCGAGGAAAACCGUACUGAAAACCGACACUGGUGGAUAGAUCGAGUAGAUCAAGACUUAGGGAGAACCAUUCAGAAGGAACUCGGCAAAACCACUCCGUAACUUCGGGAAAAGGGGUACAACUUAUAAGAAAGAUACCUUACAAAUUCCUGUUUUACUACAGAAGUUUGUAUAGGACAUAAGGAUGUGUCACGAAAUCGGGAGGUAGGACUGUUUACUUAAAACUUCACUCUCUGCAAUCUGAAAAAGGUAGUAUAGGGAGUAACUUUUGCCCGGUGCCAAUACGUGAAAAUUGCUAGACAGGUGAACGAAAUGAGUCUAUCCUAAUCUCACAAGGAAUAGGAUUUGGUGAAUCUUUGAUUCCCCUCGUGUAGAAUAUAAACUUUGGUAAACGGCGGUCUUAACCAUAAGGAUCCAAAGGUAGCGAAAUUCCUCGGCUAUUAAUUGUAGUCCCGCACGAAUAAAGUAACUAUACCUCCACUGUCUCCUGAAUGGACCCUACGAAAUCACAUUGGUUGUGCAGAUGCAACCGUGUCCUAGAGUGACGGAAAGACCCUAUGCAGCUUUACUGUUAUUUAGCAAAAUUUUCUAAAAUGAUAUUGGAUAUCUUUUAGGACUAUUGCUUGAGAGACAGUUUGAUUGGGGUGAUCGCCUUCUAAAAAGUAACGAAGGUGUGCAAUGGUAGGCCUUACGUAUAAUGGCUUAUGCCUGCUUGACUGUAAGAAUUACAAUUCGAACAGAGAGGAUUUUAGAGAACCUAAUUUCACUCAGCCAUAGUGACCCGGUAGUUUAUGCUACCGAUCAACGAAUAAAAGUUACGCUAGGGAUAACAGCUUAGUCCUAAGUUAGAGUUCAAAUCGACCUUAGGGUUCGGGACCUCGAUGUCGACUCUUCCCAACCUGGUUGAGCAGGGGCUUCCAAGGGUGCAAUUGUUCAUUGCAUAAAGGGGAACGUGAGUUGGGUUAACAACGUCGUGAGACAGUUGGGUUCCUAUCUUCUAGGACAAUCAAUAGCAAAAGAUCCUUACCUUCGUACGAGAGGAUCAGGGAAGUAAAACCUCUAGUCAUCCAGUUCUUUUUAGUGCUGGGUAGCUACGUUUUGAAUAGAGAACCACUGAAACCAUCUUAAGUGGGAAACUUAUCUUUUCUAUUGGCGUGUCAGGUAGAACACCUGUAGAGACUUAAAUGUAAGCGCUGUGAAGCCUUUAGUUUUAUCUCUUGUAACACUGUAUACUACUUUUCC